CGCGGCCUAUCAGCUUGUUGGUGAGGUAAUGGCUCACCAAGGCGACGACGGGUAGCCGGCCUGAGAGGGUGACCGGCCACACUGGGACUGAGACACGGCCCAGACUCCUACGGGAGGCAGCAGUGGGGAAUAUUGCACAAUGGGCGAAAGCCUGAUGCAGCGACGCCGCGUGAGGGAUGACGGCCUUCGGGUUGUAAACCUCUUUCAGUAGGGAACAAGGCCAGCAUUUUUGUUGGUUGAGGGUACUUGCAGAAGAAGCGCCGGCUAACUACGUGCCAGCAGCCGCGGUAAUACGUAGGGCGCAAGCGUUAUCCGGAAUUAUUGGGCGUAAAGAGCUCGUAGGCGGUUUGUCGCGUCUGCCGUGAAAGUCCGGGGCUCAACCCCGGAUCUGCGGUGGGUACGGGCAGACUAGAGUGAUGUAGGGGAGACUGGAAUUCCUGGUGUAGCGGUGAAAUGCGCAGAUAUCAGGAGGAACACCGAUGGCGAAGGCAGGUCUCUGGGCAUUAACUGACGCUGAGGAGCGAAAGCAUGGGGAGCGAACAGGAUUAGAUACCCUGGUAGUCCAUGCCGUAAACGUUGGGCACUAGGUGUGGGGGACAUUCCACGUUUUCCGCGCCGUAGCUAACGCAUUAAGUGCCCCGCCUGGGGAGUACGG
This 655-nucleotide ribosomal RNA is filed under the name uncultured bacterium. RNAcentral's name for it is "bacterial SSU rRNA". It matches the Rfam family "Bacterial small subunit ribosomal RNA", at positions 232 to 885 of the family's 1533-position model. The record is from RNAcentral.